CAGAAAAUAGUAUGAUAUUAGUACAUAAAUUUUGGAGAUUUAAAGAGAUUUUUUCUUUUCUGA
This 63-nucleotide transfer RNA is filed under the name Ixodes uriae (common seabird tick). Lineage: Eukaryota; Metazoa; Arthropoda; Arachnida; Ixodida; Ixodidae. The record is from RNAcentral.